Non-coding RNA from Camelina sativa (false flax), 916 nucleotides. The record is from RefSeq and is a predicted model, not a curated record. NCBI's taxonomy places the organism in Eukaryota, Viridiplantae, Streptophyta, Magnoliopsida, Brassicales, Brassicaceae.
UUAAUUUGCUCCAAAAAAAUUUGACCAAGGAAAAAAAUAAAAAUUUAUGAGGUCGAAAACAAGGAAGCACUUUGGGUUUCUUUUUCCCAUUUGACAACUCUGUCUCUUUCAAUUUUUUCUUUCCUACAACUCUCGAUCAUCUCAGUUUCGAUCUCUCAAUCACAGUCCCGUUCCUCUUACUUUCAAUCUCUAUCUCUGUCGAUCUCCGUAUCGUGCCCUCUCAGUCUCAGUCUUGUUUUCGAUCUCUUUCUUGAUAUUCCACUCGCAAUCUCGUUCCUCUUAAUCGUCGCCAUCUACAUCGGUAAAUCGAAUGGUGUAAUCGAAUUUGACAUUGAAGGUGAAAUUGUGUUUGGCUUUGGUUAUUUGCAAAGAUUUAAGCUUUCAAUCGAUUACUUUUUUUUUUUUUUCUUUUCUUUUUUGCAGUAAGAGCUCGAUGAGACUUCAGUCAAAACUUAAAAGUUUGAUUUGGCACUUCGAAUAACUAAUAGUUAGUCUUCAAAUCUUCAAGAUUAAUGCUGCUGGCGCUUGUUUUUACUUUUUUACUCGUUGCUGGAGCUGUGGUUGUUUUGUUGUGAUGUGGACAGGGCAUGGGUUUGAGAGAGCUUGUGUCAUUUAAGGAGAGAUGUGAGAAUACGAUGGACUAUGUAAAAAGGCUUAGGCUUUGCAUUAGAUGGUUUCAAGAACUCGAGUUAGAUUACGUGUUUGAGCAAGAGAGGGAGGUUCAUGACGAAGUGAAUCUAACGAGAGAAAAAAACAAUUGAAGCCAGGUCUAGGUAGAAGUUUCCAAGAUUGGUAGUACGAGUGUGUGGAGACCAAAUUUAGAAAUCAAAUAUACUUUGGUCUAUGUCAGAAAAUGAGUUUAUGUUUCUGUAAUGAUUUUCUAUGGUUUUAAUAUCAUAAGGUAUUCCCUCUUUCA